UACGUAGGGUGCAAGCGUUGUCCGGAAUUAUUGGGCGUAAAGAGCUCGUAGGCGGCCUGUUACGUCGGCUGUGAAAACUCGGGGCUCAACUCCGGGCCUGCAGUCGAUACGGGCAGACUAGAGUGCUGUAGGGGAGACUGGAAUUCCUGGUGUAGCGGUGAAAUGCGCAGAUAUCAGGAGGAACACCGGUGGCGAAGGCGGGUCUCUGGGCAGUAACUGACGCUGAGGAGCGAAAGCUUGGGGAGCGAACAGG
This 253-nucleotide ribosomal RNA is filed under the name uncultured bacterium. RNAcentral's name for it is "partial 16S ribosomal RNA". It matches the Rfam family "Bacterial small subunit ribosomal RNA", at positions 524 to 776 of the family's 1533-position model. The record is from RNAcentral.